Molecule: ribosomal RNA, 439 nt
Filed under: uncultured bacterium
Lineage: Bacteria
Description: partial 16S ribosomal RNA
Rfam family: Bacterial small subunit ribosomal RNA
Source: RNAcentral
CUACGGGUUGCACCAGUGGGGAAUCUUGGACAAUGGGCGCAAGCCUGAUCCAGCCAUGCCGCGUGAGUGAAGAAGGCCUUCGGGUUGUAAAGCUCUUUUGUCAGGGACGAUAAUGACGGUACCUGAAGAAUAAGCCCCGGCAAACUUCGUGCCAGCAGCCGCGGUAAUACGAAGGGGGCUAGCGUUGUUCGGAAUUACUGGGCGUAAAGCGCACGUAGGCUGACAUUUAAGUGAGGGGUGAAAUCCCGAGGCUCAACCUCGAAACUGCCCUUCAUACUGGGUGUCUCGAGUCCGGAAGAGGUUAGUGGAAUUCCCAGUGUAGAGGUGAAAUUCGUAGAUAUUGGGAAGAACACCAGUGGCGAAGGCGGCUAACUGGUCCGGUACUGACGCUGAGGUGCGAAAGCGUGGGGAGCAAACAGGAUUAGAUACCCGAGUAGUC